CCUGGGUCUGGUAGUUAAAGAUCAACCCCUGACCUAAUUGGUUAUGUUAUCUACAGAUUACAUUGUAUAGAAAAGCACUGUGAACAUCCCUAUCCUGCUUUGUUCCAAUCUAAUUACCAGUGCAUGCAGCCCCCAGUCACGUACCUCCUGCUUGCUCAAUCGAUGACCACCCUCUCACGCGCAGCCCCCAAUCAUGUACCUCCUGCUUGCUCAAUCGAUGACGACCCUCUCACGCGCACCCCCUUAGAGUUGUGAGCCUUUAAAAGGGACAGGAAUUGCUCACUCAGGGAGCUUGGCUCUUGAGACAGGAGUCUUGCCGAUGCCCCCAGCCAAAUAAACCCCUUCCUUCUUUAACUGGGUGUCUGAGGAGUUUUGUCUGUGGCUCGUCCUGCUACAUUUCUUGGUUCCCUGACUGGGAAGUGAGGUGAUUGGUGGAUGGUUGAGGCAGCUCCUUAGGCGGCUUAAGCCUGCCCUGUGGAACAUGCCUGCUGGGGACUCCGACCAGCCUGAGAGACGCAGAUCCUGAGAGCGCUCCCGGGUACGCAUUUGCCCCGGUUGGACGCCUCGCCAGAGCAGUGUGUGGCAGGCUACCGUGGAGGAUCAACACAGUGGCUGAACACCAUGAAGGAGCAGGCACUUGGAGUCUGGACAUCUAAAACUUGCUCUGUAUUUUCUUCCUCAUGAAGACUUUUGCUGCAUUUUUGAGGCUAUAGACAUUAAUAUCUGGUAUGUUUUCUUUGAGUAUUAAAGCUUUUAAUAUUAUAAAGUGAACUAGAAUCUAUUAUGAUUUUAUUCUGAAAGUAAGCUUGCUAGACGCUAAUAUUUUAUUCUUCACUCUCCUCCUACUUUUCCAUAGUUCAUCAUUGUCACGUUUUUAUGUUUAGCGUUUCUGGAUUUCAUUGUUUUAGGUUUGUCUCUAGUGUUCUGCAUAGGGUGAGAAAGCCUCUCUAACUUUUUAAAUAUUAUCAAUACGUUUGGCUUCAGUUCUCUUGUGGUCGUUUCAUUUCUAUUUUAUUUUUUUCUAUCACUUUUUAUUAUUUAAGUUUUAUACUUUCAUUCAAAUGGUCAAAUUCUUAUACUUACUUUUGUAUGUAAUGUUCUCAUCUCUGUCCCCCAAAUUUGGAUACAGUAUAUUGGUUCCCUACUAUUAACUAUAAUGAACUUUACCAGUCAACUCUUUUUCCUCCUUUUCUCCUUUUCCUCCAAGAUUUAAUGUGAAGUAAAAAUCUUUUAUACCCAUAGUUUUGUAGUUCAACUCUAUCUUCAUUAUGAGACAUACACAAUUUACAUACUAUACCUUUUCCAUUAUGAUGUUCAUUUUAUUUCAGUUUACCAGAAAUAAACAACAUUAAUUUACUACUCAUGACUAAAUUUUUAUGUUGGUGUCCUCCUGUUUUUUUUUUUAAUUAUCUGAA
RNAcentral lists this long non-coding RNA (1415 nucleotides) under Homo sapiens (human). RNAcentral describes it as "HSALNT0027718". Lineage: Eukaryota; Metazoa; Chordata; Mammalia; Primates; Hominidae. The record is from RNAcentral.